UACGUAGGGGGCUAGCGUUGUCCGGAAUCAUUGGGCGUAAAGCGCGUGUAGGCGGUCCGGUAAGUCCGCUGUGAAAGUCCAGGGCUCAACCCUGGGAUGCCGGUGGAUACUGUCGGGCUCGAGUCCGGAAGAGGAGUGUGGAAUUCCUGGUGUAGCGGUGAAAUGCGUAGAUAUCAAGCGGAACACCAGUGGCGAAGGCGAGUCCCUGGACAACUCCUGACACUGAUGCACGAAAGCUAGGGGAGCAAACAGG
This 253-nucleotide ribosomal RNA is filed under the name uncultured bacterium. RNAcentral's name for it is "partial 16S ribosomal RNA". It matches the Rfam family "Bacterial small subunit ribosomal RNA", at positions 524 to 776 of the family's 1533-position model. The record is from RNAcentral.